AACGGCGAGUGAAGCGGGAAGAGCUCAAAUUUGAAAUCUUCAAGGUUCUACCUUGACGAAUUGUAGUUUAAAGAAGUGUUUUCUGUUGGAGUUUUGGUAAAAGUUCUUUGGAAUAGGACAUCAUAGAGGGUGAGAAUCCCGUAUUUGACCAUUAUUUCCAGCUUUGUGAUACACUUUCAAAGAGUCGGAUUGUUUGGGAAUGCAGUCCAAAAUGGGUGGUAAAUUUCAUCUAAAGCUAAAUAUUGGCGAGAGACCGAUAGCGAACAAGUACCGUGAGGGAAAGAUGAAAAGAACUUUGAAAAGAGAGUUAAACAGUACGUGAAAUUGUCAAAAGGGAAGCGUUUGACACCAGUGUUGUUUUCUCGAAAAUCAAUUAAAAAAGGCUGGAUUUUGUGUUGUAUUGACUUUAUCAGCUUUCUGCACUCUUUUCCUGUCUUUUUUAAUGCACUUUUCGUUUAACAAGUCAACAUCAAUUUCUUUUGUUGUAAAAGGGUCAUUGGAAGGUGGCUUUCUUUUCGGAGAAAGUGUUUAUAGCCUUUGGCCUCUGCAAUCGGAGAGAUUGAGGUCUGCAGCGUAGAUCCUUCGGGGUUAGAUACAUUUGUGCUAAGUUAUAGCCUUUCAUAGACAACUUGUUGACUAUGAUCAGUCAUGUAGCUUACUCGCUUAUGCUAUUUUACCUAC
This 681-nucleotide ribosomal RNA is filed under the name Caecomyces sp. RNAcentral's name for it is "partial large subunit ribosomal RNA". It matches the Rfam family "Eukaryotic large subunit ribosomal RNA", at positions 85 to 616 of the family's 3401-position model. Lineage: Eukaryota; Fungi; Neocallimastigomycota; Neocallimastigomycetes; Neocallimastigales; Neocallimastigaceae. The record is from RNAcentral.